This 253-nucleotide ribosomal RNA is filed under the name uncultured bacterium. Its description in RNAcentral is "partial 16S ribosomal RNA". It matches the Rfam family "Bacterial small subunit ribosomal RNA", at positions 524 to 776 of the family's 1533-position model. The record is from RNAcentral.
UACGGGUGGGGCAAGCGUUGUUCGGAAUUACUGGGCGUAAAGGGCUCGUAGGCGGCCAACUAAGUCAGACGUGAAAUCCCUCGGCUUAACCGGGGAACUGCGUCUGAUACUGGAUGGCUAGAGGUUGGGAGAGGGAUGCGGAAUUCCAGGUGUAGCGGUGAAAUGCGUAGAUAUCUGGAGGAACACCGGUGGCGAAGGCGGCAUCCUGGACCAAUUCUGACGCUGAGGAGCGAAAGCCAGGGGAGCAAACGGG